GUCCGUAACGGCCGUAAUAAUAUUAUUAUUAAAAUAUCUCUGGGUGCAGUGCGCACAUCCCGCGGUUUAUUAUUAAUUUUAACGAUUUAAUUUCCGCGCGAUUAUUAUUUUAUUCGCCGCGGCGACCCUUCUCAACUUGUACGACACAAUGUAAGCCGUCCCUCUGCUGCAGUAGCCCCGGCGGCGGACGUAUACAUUAAUCAAUUAUUAACGCACUUUACCACUGAUUUUAUCUUAGUCGGCAAUAUUCCGCGUAGUGCCCCGCCCUCAUCUCUAUACAAUACGUUUUGCCGUAUAUCAAGUUUUUACAUCAGCACUAAACGUUUUAUUAAGCGUAUAGAUGUG
This is a non-coding RNA of Cinara cedri, 345 nucleotides long. The record is from the annotation of a GenBank genome assembly. Lineage: Eukaryota; Metazoa; Arthropoda; Insecta; Hemiptera; Aphididae.